AAAUUGAAGAGUUUGAUCAUGGCUCAGAUUGAACGCUGGCGGCAGGCCUAACACAUGCAAGUCGAACGGUAACAGGAAACAGCUUGCUGUUUCGCUGACGAGUGGCGGACGGGUGAGUAAUGUCUGGGAAACUGCCUGAUGGAGGGGGAUAACUACUGGAAACGGUAGCUAAUACCGCAUAAUGUCGCAAGACUAAAGAGGGGGACCUUCGGGCCUCUUGCCAUCGGAUGUGCCCAGAUGGGAUUAGCUAGUAGGUGGGGUAACGGCUCACCUAGGCGACGAUCCCUAGCUGGUCUGAGAGGAUGACCAGCCACACUGGAACUGAGACACGGUCCAGACUCCUACGGGAGGCAGCAGUGGGGAAUAUUGCACAAUGGGCGCAAGCCUGAUGCAGCCAUGCCGCGUGUAUGAAGAAGGCCUUCGGGUUGUAAAGUACU
Molecule: ribosomal RNA, 437 nt
Filed under: Shigella sonnei
Lineage: Bacteria; Pseudomonadati; Pseudomonadota; Gammaproteobacteria; Enterobacterales; Enterobacteriaceae
Description: bacterial SSU rRNA
Rfam family: Bacterial small subunit ribosomal RNA
Source: RNAcentral